RNAcentral lists this ribosomal RNA (492 nucleotides) under uncultured bacterium. RNAcentral's name for it is "partial 16S ribosomal RNA". It matches the Rfam family "Bacterial small subunit ribosomal RNA", at positions 29 to 507 of the family's 1533-position model. The record is from RNAcentral.
AGUGAACGCUGGCGGUAGGCCUAACACAUGCAAGUCGAACGGCAGCACAGUAAGAGCUUGCUCUUAUGGGUGGCGAGUGGCGGACGGGUGAGGAAUACAUCGGAAUCUACUUUUUCGUGGGGGAUAACGUAGGGAAGCUUACGCUAAUACCGCAUACGACCUACGGGUGAAAGCAGGGGAUCUUCGGACCUUGCGCGAUUGAAUGAGCCGAUGUCGGAUUAGCUAGUUGGCGGGGUAAAGGCCCACCAAGGCGACGAUCCGUAGCUGGUCUGAGAGGAUGAUCAGCCACACUGGAACUGAGACACGGUCCAGACUCCUACGGGAGGCAGCAGUGGGGAAUAUUGGACAAUGGGCGAAAGCCUGAUCCAGCCAUACCGCGUGGGUGAAGAAGGCCUUCGGGUUGUAAAGCCCUUUUGUUGGGAAAGAAAAGCAGCAGGUUAAUACCCCGCUGUUCUGACGGUACCCAAAGAAUAAGCACCGGCUAACUUCGUG